This 1085-nucleotide ribosomal RNA is filed under the name uncultured eukaryote. RNAcentral describes it as "bacterial SSU rRNA". It matches the Rfam family "Eukaryotic small subunit ribosomal RNA", at positions 577 to 1674 of the family's 1831-position model. The record is from RNAcentral.
CGGUAAUUCCAGCUCCAAUAGCGUAUAUUAAAGUUGCUGCAGUUAAAAAGCUCGUAGUUGGAUCUUGGAAGGGGGUCGCUCGGUCGGCCGUGAGGUCUGUUACUGAGCGGCUCUGUCAUUACAUUUCUCAGAGACCUGUCGUGUACUUAACUGUGCGCGGCAUGGGAUUUGGGACGUUUACUUUGAAAAAAUUAGAGUGUUCAAAGCAGGCUUUUCAAGCCCGAGUACAUGAGCAUGGAAUAAUGGAAUAGGACCGCGGUUCUAUUUUGUUGGUUUCUACGACCGCAGUAAUGAUUAAGAGGGACAAUUGGGGGCGUCCGUAUUUCGUUGUCAGAGGUGAAAUUCUUGGAUUUACGAAAGACGAACAACUGCGAAAGCAUUUGCCAAGAGUGUUUUCAUUAAUCAAGAACGAAAGUUAGAGGAUCGAAGACGAUCAGAUACCGUCCUAGUUCUAACCAUAAACGAUGUCGACUAGGGAUUGGCGGGCGUUAAUUAACACGACCCCGUCAGCACCUUACGGGAAACCAAAGUUUUUGGAUUCCGGGGGAAGUAUGGUUGCAAAACUGAAACUUAAAGGAAUUGACGGAAGGGCACCACCAGGAGUGGAGCCUGCGGCUUAAUUUGACUCAACACGGGAAAACUCACCAGGUCCAGACAUAGUAAGGAUUGACAGAUUGAGAGUUCUUUCUUGAUUCUAUGGGUGGUGGGGCCUGGCCGUUUUUAAUUGGUGGAACGAUUUGUUUGGUUAAUUUCGAUAACGAACGGGGCUCUGGCCUUUAUAAUUAGUGCGCGACAAUGGAUGCGCUCGGCGUAGUCCAUCUUAGAAGAGGGUCAAGUGGCCAUCAGGCAGGAGGGAGUGAGCAAUAACAGGUCUGUGAUGCCCUUAGAUGUCCGGGGCUGCACGCGCGUUACACUGACUCGCUCAGCGUGCACAUACCCUAGGCCGACAGGCGCGGGUAAUCCGGUGAACUCCCUUCGUGAUGGGGAUCGGGGAUUGCAAUUAUUAAUCAUGAACGAGGAAUUCCCAGUAAGUGCGGGUCAUCAGUUUGCAAUGAUUAAGUCCCUGCCCCUUGUACACACCGCCC